RNAcentral lists this long non-coding RNA (236 nucleotides) under Elaeis guineensis (African oil palm). RNAcentral's name for it is "long non-coding RNA (EGUI_LNC055555)". The record is from RNAcentral. Lineage: Eukaryota; Viridiplantae; Streptophyta; Magnoliopsida; Arecales; Arecaceae.
UCUUAAUUUCCUUACAUCUUCCACACGUCCCUUAAUUUUGUGUGCCAUCAAAUGGGGCUUUAAGACAUGUGGGUGUGGAAGAGGAGGAGGAGUCCUUCUCCAGGAAGGAACUCCAUGCCAAAAUAAAUUGGGAUGCCAUACAUUUAUGCGAUGAGAAGUGGAAGAGUUCAAUUCUCUUAAAACUCUUAAUUCCUUCCAUAUUCUCUAUGCAUUUCUUAAAUCCUCGUGACAUGAGA